UACGGAGGAUCCAAGCGUUAUCCGGAAUCAUUGGGUUUAAAGGGUCCGUAGGCGGUUUAAUAAGUCAGUGGUGAAAGCCCAUCGCUCAACGGUGGAACGGCCAUUGAUACUGUUAAACUUGAAUUAUUAGGAAGUAACUAGAAUAUGUAGUGUAGCGGUGAAAUGCUUAGAGAUUACAUGGAAUACCAAUUGCGAAGGCAGGUUACUACUAAUGAAUUGACGCUGAUGGACGAAAGCGUGGGUAGCGAACAGG
This 253-nucleotide ribosomal RNA is filed under the name uncultured bacterium. RNAcentral's name for it is "partial 16S ribosomal RNA". It matches the Rfam family "Bacterial small subunit ribosomal RNA", at positions 524 to 776 of the family's 1533-position model. The record is from RNAcentral.